Molecule: ribosomal RNA, 502 nt
Filed under: uncultured bacterium
Lineage: Bacteria
Description: partial 16S ribosomal RNA
Rfam family: Bacterial small subunit ribosomal RNA
Source: RNAcentral
AUUGAACGCUGACGGAAUGCUUUACACAUGCAAGUCGAACGGCAGCACGGGUGCUUGCACCUGGUGGCGAGUGGCGAACGGGUGAGUAAUACAUCGGAACGUACCCAGUCGUGGGGGAUAACGUAGCGAAAGUUACGCUAAUACCGCAUACGUCCUGAGGGAGAAAGCGGGGGACCGUAAGGCCUCGCGCGAUUGGAGCGGCCGAUGUCUGAUUAGCUAGUUGGUGAGGUAAAGGCUCACCAAGGCGACGAUCAGUAGCUGGUCUGAGAGGAUGAUCAGCCACACUGGAACUGAGACACGGUCCAGACUCCUACGGGAGGCAGCAGUGGGGAAUUUUGGACAAUGGGCGAAAGCCUGAUCCAGCCAUUCCGCGUGAGUGAAGAAGGCCUUCGGGUUGUAAAGCUCUUUCGGCAGGAACGAAACGCUCUAGAUUAAUACUCUGGGGUAAUGACGGUACCUGAAGAAGAAGCACCGGCUAACUACGUGCCAGCAGCCGCGGUAA